RNAcentral lists this unclassified non-coding RNA (328 nucleotides) under soil metagenome. Its description in RNAcentral is "partial contains 5.8S ribosomal RNA, internal transcribed spacer 2, and large subunit ribosomal RNA". The stretch from base 1 to 120 matches the Rfam family "5.8S ribosomal RNA", at positions 35 to 154 of the family's 154-position model. The record is from RNAcentral.
GAUGAAGAACGUAGCGAAAUGCGAUAAGUAGUGUGAAUUGCAGAAUUCAGUGAAUCAUCGAAUCUUUGAACGCACAUUGCGCCCCUUGGUAUCCCGAGGGGCAUGCCUGUUCGAGCGUCAUUUCACCACUCAAGCCUGGCUUGGUGUUGGGCGACGUCCCCUUUAGGGACGCGCCUCGAAACGCUCGGCGGCGUGGCACCGGCUUUAAGCGUAGCAGAAUCUUUCGCUUUGGAAGUCGGGGCCCCGCCUGCCGGAAUACCUACUCGUAAGGUUGACCUCGGAUCAGGCAGGGAUACCCGCUGAACUUAAGCAUAUCAUAAGCGGAGGA